AUGUCUUUUUGAAUAUAAUUUAAAGUUUAAUCUGCUCAAUGAUAUUUAAAUUGCCGCGGUAUUUUGACUGUGCUAAGGUAGCAUAAUCAUUAGUUUCUUAAUUAGAAUCUGGGAUGAAUGAUUGGACAAGAAAAUUUCUGUCUCUAUUAAAUAGAUUUUAAUUUUAUAUUUUAGUGAAAAAGCUUAAAUAAUUUUAGAAGACGAGAAGACCCUAUAGAGUUUUAUAUUUAAUUUUAAAUUAAUGUUAGUAAUGUUUUUAAUAUUAUUUAUUUAGUUGGGGUGACUUGGAGAUAGAUAAAAUUCUUUAAAUUUUUUGUUGAUGAUAAUUAAUUUUAAAUAUUAAUUUUUUUGGAUUUAUAAUAAAUUACCUUAGGGAUAACAGCGUAAUUUUCUUUUAAAGUUCUUAUUGAAUGGAAAGUUUGCGACCUCGAUGUUGGAUUAAAAUUAAUUUUUGGUGUAAUAGCUUUUUGAUUGGGUCUGUUCGACCUUUAAAAUUUUACAUGAUCUGAGUU
This 512-nucleotide ribosomal RNA is filed under the name Platerodrilini gen. sp. UPOL VP0012. Its description in RNAcentral is "partial large subunit ribosomal RNA". The stretch from base 375 to 512 matches the Rfam family "Bacterial large subunit ribosomal RNA", at positions 2473 to 2611 of the family's 2925-position model. The record is from RNAcentral. Lineage: Eukaryota; Metazoa; Arthropoda; Insecta; Coleoptera; Lycidae.